UCAUUAACGAGUAAGGGGCUUUGCGCCCCGGGGGCCUCGGCCCCGACUCCUCACCCUGUGCGUACCUACCUCUGUUGCUUUGGCGGGCCUCGGUUAACCCCGACGUCGGCCCGGGGGCGACCCCGGGCCCGCGAGUGCCCGCCGGAGGCCAGUCUUACUCUUGUUUAUCAGUGAAGUCUGAGGAAAUUCAAUAACUAAAACUUUCAACAACGGAUCUCUUGGUUCUGGCAUCGAUGAAGAACGCAGCGAAAUGCGAUAAGUAAUGUGAAUUGCAGAAUUCAGUGAAUCAUCGAAUCUUUGAACGCACAUUGCGCCCCUUGGUAUUCCGAGGGGCAUGCCUGUUCGAGCGUCAUUGCAACCCCCUCAAGCACUGCUUGGUAUUGGGCUUCGUCCCCCGGGCGUGCCCGAAAGUCAGUGGCGGUCCAGGGGAGACUUCGAGCGUAGUAAAUUUUCAUUCGCUCUGGAAGGCUCCCGCUGCAACCGGCCAGCCAACCCCCCUAAUUUCAAUGGUUGACCUCGGAUCAGGUAGGGAUACCCGCUGAACUUAAGCAUAUCAU
This 557-nucleotide ribosomal RNA is filed under the name Lecidea tessellata. RNAcentral's name for it is "eukaryotic LSU rRNA". The stretch from base 199 to 352 matches the Rfam family "5.8S ribosomal RNA". Lineage: Eukaryota; Fungi; Ascomycota; Lecanoromycetes; Lecideales; Lecideaceae. The record is from RNAcentral.